Molecule: ribosomal RNA, 373 nt
Filed under: uncultured eukaryote
Lineage: Eukaryota
Description: partial 18S ribosomal RNA
Rfam family: Eukaryotic small subunit ribosomal RNA
Source: RNAcentral
CAAUAGCGUAUAUUAAAGUUGUUGCAGUUAAAAAGCUCGUAGUUGGAUUUCUGCGAGGGUGCCAAUGUCCGCCGACGCGCGUGCGCAGCGGCGCCCUCGCAUCCUUCUGUUACCACCUCUCGGCAUUCACUUGCCGGUGGUCGGCUCAGAGAAUUUACCUUGAGAAAAUUAGAGUGUUUCAGGCAGGCUAGGCCGGAAUACAUUAGCAUGGAAUAAUGGAAUAGGACUACGGUCUCGUUGUUGGUUUGAGGGACUGUAGUAAUGAUUAAUAGGGAUAGUUGGGGGCAUUAGUAUUUAAUUGUCAGAGGUGAAAUUCUCAGAUUUGUUAAAGACUAACUUAUGCGAAAGCAUUUGCCAAGGAUGUUUUCAUUAA